RNAcentral lists this ribosomal RNA (468 nucleotides) under uncultured bacterium. RNAcentral's name for it is "partial 16S ribosomal RNA". It matches the Rfam family "Bacterial small subunit ribosomal RNA", at positions 28 to 507 of the family's 1533-position model. The record is from RNAcentral.
GACGAACGCUGGCGGCGUGCUUAACACAUGCAAGUCGAACGGAAAGGCCCUGCUUUUGUGGGGUGCUCGAGUGGCGAACGGGUGAGUAACACGUGAGUAACCUGCCCUUGACUUUGGGAUAAGUUCAGGAAACUGGGGCUAAUACCGGAUAGGAGCUCCUGCUGCAUGGUGGGGGUUGGAAAGUUUCGGCGGUUGGGGAUGGACUCGCGGCUUAUCAGCUUGUUGGUGGGGUAGUGGAUUACCAAGGCAUUGACGGGUAGCCGGCCUGAGAGGGUGACCGGCCACAUUGGGACUGCGAUACGGCCCAGACUCCAACGGGAGGCAGCAGUGGGGAAUAUUGCACAGUGGGCGGAAGCCUGAUGCAGCAACGCCGCGUGCGGGAUGACGGCCUUCGGGUUGUAAACCGCUGUCGCCUGUGACGAAGCGUGAGUGACGGUAAUGGGUAAAGAAGCACCGGCUAACUACGUG